This 25-nucleotide non-coding RNA is filed under the name Rattus norvegicus (Norway rat). Lineage: Eukaryota; Metazoa; Chordata; Mammalia; Rodentia; Muridae. The record is from RNAcentral.
UCCUGAAAACGCCACGGUGUAGCCA